UACGUAGGGUGCGAGCGUUAAUCGGAAUUACUGGGCGUAAAGCGUGCGCAGGCGGUUUUGUAAGCCAGAUGUGAAAUCCCCGGGCUUAACCUGGGAAUGGCAUUUGGGACUGCAAGGCUGGAGUGCGGCAGAGGAGACUGGAAUUCCUGGUGUAGCAGUGAAAUGCGUAGAUAUCAGGAGGAACACUGGCGGCGAAGGCUGGUCUCUGGGCCGUAACUGACACUGAGGAGCGAAAGCGUGGGGAGCGAACAGG
RNAcentral lists this ribosomal RNA (253 nucleotides) under uncultured bacterium. Its description in RNAcentral is "partial 16S ribosomal RNA". It matches the Rfam family "Bacterial small subunit ribosomal RNA", at positions 524 to 776 of the family's 1533-position model. The record is from RNAcentral.